GGUUCAAGGAUGAAAGACGGUUUCGGCUGUCACUUACAGAUGGACCCGCGGCGCAUUAGCUAGUUGGUGGGGUAAUGGCUCACCAAGGCGACGAUGCGUAGCCGACCUGAGAGGGUGAUCGGCCACACUGGGACUGAGACACGGCCCAGACUCCUACGGGAGGCAGCAGUAGGGAAUCUUCCGCAAUGGACGAAAGUCUGACGGAGCAACGCCGCGUGAGUGAUGAAGGUUUUCGGAUCGUAAAGCUCUGUUGUUAGGGAAGAACAAGUGCGAGAGUAACUGCUCGCACCUUGACGGUACCUAACCAGAAAGCCACGGCUAACUACGUGCCAGCAGCCGCGGUAAUACGUAGGUGGCAAGCGUUGUCCGGAAUUAUUGGGCGUAAAGGGCUCGCAGGCGGUUUCUUAAGUCUGAUGUGA
RNAcentral lists this ribosomal RNA (419 nucleotides) under Bacillus safensis. RNAcentral describes it as "bacterial SSU rRNA". It matches the Rfam family "Bacterial small subunit ribosomal RNA", at positions 191 to 597 of the family's 1533-position model. Lineage: Bacteria; Bacillati; Bacillota; Bacilli; Caryophanales; Bacillaceae. The record is from RNAcentral.